GAGGGGGUAGCAAAGCCUGGUCAAAUGUGCAGGACUUAAGAUCCUGUGGAUUAUUUCCUUCGUGGGUUCGAAUCCCAUCCCCCUCA
RNAcentral lists this transfer RNA (86 nucleotides) under Candidatus Woesearchaeota archaeon CG10_big_fil_rev_8_21_14_0_10_30_7. Its description in RNAcentral is "tRNA-Leu". It matches the Rfam family "tRNA". From Rfam's summary of the family: Transfer RNA (tRNA) molecules are approximately 80 nucleotides in length. Their secondary structure includes four short double-helical elements and three loops (D, anti-codon, and T loops). Lineage: Archaea; Nanobdellati; Candidatus Woesearchaeota. The record is from RNAcentral.